Molecule: transfer RNA, 73 nt
Filed under: Candidatus Omnitrophota bacterium
Lineage: Bacteria; Pseudomonadati; Candidatus Omnitrophota
Description: tRNA-Thr
Rfam family: tRNA
About the family: Transfer RNA (tRNA) molecules are approximately 80 nucleotides in length. Their secondary structure includes four short double-helical elements and three loops (D, anti-codon, and T loops). Further hydrogen bonds mediate the characteristic L-shaped molecular structure. tRNAs have two regions of fundamental functional importance: the anti-codon, which is responsible for specific mRNA codon recognition, and the 3' end, to which the tRNAs corresponding amino acid is attached (by aminoacyl-tRNA synthetases). tRNAs cope with the degeneracy of the genetic code in two manners: having more than one tRNA (with a specific anti-codon) for a particular amino acid; and 'wobble' base-pairing, i.e. permitting non-standard base-pairing at the 3rd anti-codon position.
Source: RNAcentral
GCUGGUGUAGCUCAGUUGGUAGAGCGACAGUUUCGUAAACUGUAGGUCGCCAGUUCAAUCCUGGCCACCAGCU